Molecule: ribosomal RNA, 884 nt
Filed under: Trupanea sp. 'waikamoi'
Lineage: Eukaryota; Metazoa; Arthropoda; Insecta; Diptera; Tephritidae
Description: partial 16S ribosomal RNA
Source: RNAcentral
AUUAUUAGAAAUGAAAUGUUAUUCGUUUAUAAAGAUAUCUAGUUUUUUUAGAAAUAAAUUUAAUUUAAAAGUUUUUAAUUUUAUUAAUUAUUUAUGUUAAUUAAUAAAUUUAUAAAUUUUAAUAUUUUAAGGGAUAAGCUUUAAAAUAAAUUUUUAAAAAUUAAUAAAUGAUAAUUAAAAUUAUAUACAUAGAAUUAGUAAUUAUUAAAAAAUUUGUUAUAAAUUAUUUUAUAAUAUAUAUAUUAUUUAUUAUAAUUUUAAAUUUUUUAUAAAAAUAUAUUUUUUAAUUUUCUUUAAAAAGUAAUAAUGAUAAAAUUAGUAUAUUUUUAUAUUAUAUGUAUAUAUAAUUUAUUUUGAUAAGUUUAUAUAAAGAAUUCGGCAAAUAUUUCUCGCCUGUUUAACAAAAACAUGUCUUUUUGUGUUAUUUUAAAAGUCUAACCUGCCCAAUGAAUAAAUUAAAUGGCCGCAGUAUUUUGACUGUGCAAAGGUAGCAUAAUCAUUAGUCUUUUAAUUGAAGGCUUGAAUGAAUGGUUGGACGAAGUAUAAUCUGUUUCAUUUAAAUUUAUUAUAGAAUUUUAUAUUUUAGUAAAAAAGCUAAAAUAUUUUUAAAAGACGAGAAGACCCUAUAAAUCUUUAUAAUUUAUAUAUUAUUUUUAUUUUUUAUAUUUAUUUUAUUUAAAUAAUUUUAAUUAUUUUGUUGGGGUGAUAUUAAAAUUUAAUAAACUUUUAAUUAAUUAUUUCAUUAAUUUAUGUUUUAUUGAUCCAUUAAUAAUGAUUAAAAGAAUAAGUUACUUUAGGGAUAACAGCGUAAUUUUUUUGGAGAGUUCUUAUUGAUAAAAAAGUUUGCGACCUCGAUGUUGGAUUAAGAUAUAAUUUUAGGUGUA